GGCGCAUUAGCUCAGAGUGAUAGAGCACCAGGAUUUGACCCUGGAUGUCACGGGUUCGAGACCCGUAUGCGCUGCCA
RNAcentral lists this transfer RNA (77 nucleotides) under Oscillibacter sp. RNAcentral's name for it is "tRNA-Gln". It matches the Rfam family "tRNA". From Rfam's summary of the family: Transfer RNA (tRNA) molecules are approximately 80 nucleotides in length. Their secondary structure includes four short double-helical elements and three loops (D, anti-codon, and T loops). Lineage: Bacteria; Bacillati; Bacillota; Clostridia; Eubacteriales; Oscillospiraceae. The record is from RNAcentral.